Molecule: ribosomal RNA, 462 nt
Filed under: Canis lupus (wolf)
Lineage: Eukaryota; Metazoa; Chordata; Mammalia; Carnivora; Canidae
Also listed under: 1 other name
Description: partial large subunit ribosomal RNA
Rfam family: Bacterial large subunit ribosomal RNA
Source: RNAcentral
CAUUUGUUCUCUAAAUAGGGACUUGUAUGAAUGGCCACACGAGGGUUUAACUGUCUCUUACUCCCAAUCAGUGAAAUUGACCUUCCCGUGAAGAGGCGGGAAUACCACAAUAAGACGAGAAGACCCUAUGGAGCUUUAAUUAACUAACCCAAACUCAUGGAUACUAGAUACCUACAAGGCAUAACAUAACACCAUUAUUAUGGGUUAGCAAUUUAGGUUGGGGUGACCUCGGAAUAUAAAAAAACUCCCGAGUGAUUAAAAUUUAGACCCACAAGUCAAAAUACAACAUCACUUAUUGAUCCAAUAAUUUUUGAUCAACGGAACAAGUUACCCUAGGGAUAACAGCGCAAUCCUAUUCAAGAGUCCAUAUCGACAAUAGGGUUUACGACCUCGAUGUUGGAUCAGGACAUCCUAAUGGUGCAGCAGCUAUUAAGGGUUCGUUUGUUCAACGAUUAAAGUCCU